AUAGCGUAUAUUUAAGUUGCUGCAGUUAAAAAGCUCGUAGUUGGAUUUCGGAUGGGUUCCGCCGGUCCGCCGUUUCGGUGUGCACUGACGGCGCCCAUCUUGCUGCCGGGGACGGGCUCCUGGGCUUAAUUGUCCGGGACUCGGAGUCGGCGAGGUUACUUUGAGUAAAUUAGAGUGUUCAAAGCAGGCCUACGCUCUGAAUACAUUAGCAUGGAAUAACACGAUAGGACUCUGGCCUAUCUUGUUGGUCUGUAGGACCGGAGUAAUGAUUAAGAGGGACAGUCGGGGGCAUUCGUAUUUCAUUGUCAGAGGUGAAAUUCUUGGAUUUAUGAAAGACGAACUACUG
RNAcentral lists this ribosomal RNA (346 nucleotides) under uncultured eukaryote. RNAcentral describes it as "SSU rRNA". It matches the Rfam family "Eukaryotic small subunit ribosomal RNA", at positions 594 to 945 of the family's 1831-position model. The record is from RNAcentral.